Zingiber officinale is the source of this 552-nucleotide long non-coding RNA. RefSeq lists it as uncharacterized. The record is from RefSeq and is a predicted model, not a curated record. The transcript has 3 exons. Lineage: Eukaryota; Viridiplantae; Streptophyta; Magnoliopsida; Zingiberales; Zingiberaceae.
CACAUCAGCAGCGUAGAUGCACACCUAGCUAUGCCAUUCGUGGUCGAUCUCCUUCAUCCCAUGCCCUAUUUUCUCUGAUUCAUCAUCGCGAGGCAGUAGCCUUUCGAUCGUUGACGUUGUGACUUCUUCACCAGGGUGGUUCCGCAGCCGGUGCCACCAGCUGCAAAAGUGGUUAGUGUCAUGGUUACCACAGGUGAUUAGCCAUCCUUCUUCCCCCUUCCAUAGUCGGGGGCAGAUCUGAUGUCACCGUACCCUAGUUCUGGCCCGGCAGCAGCUACCUUGCUGUCACCUUGGAGGGUAACACCUUCACAUAGCUUUAGCUAUCUCUGUGUGUGGGUGAUCCACAGCUCCAGCCGCAGAUUUUUCAGCAGCAAUUAUUCCAGCCGCAAGUCAACAAUAGAGCGCACUGAAUUGGGUAGCAGGUAAAUGAUUAUGGAGUCGCUUGGAGUAUCCUGUCUGUCGAUCACACGUCACAUCAGAAGACGGUCUUUAUUUCGCUUUUAUUUUGUUACAUAUUUUUCUUAUGGUAUUGACAUUGUAUUGGUGUUUAGC